UUGUAGGACCCUCUGUUAAGCCAAAGUCUCUAAUUGAACAGGACUGGAAAGUCCGGGCAAAGAAGGUAACACCCCUGUAAGUGAAAGGGGCGAAGGCUGUGAGGGUAUCCUGAGUACCGCGGGACACGAGGAACCCCGUGGGAAGCUGGGAGGACCACCUCCCAAGGCUAAAUACUCCUUAGCGACCGAUAGCGAACGAGUACCGUGAGGGAAAGGUGAAAAGCACCCCGGGAGGGGAGUGAAAAAGAACCUGAAACCGUACGCUUACAAGCAGUCAAAGCACCGUCAGGUGUGAUGGCGUGCCUUUUGUAGAAUGAACCGGCGAGUUACGGUAUGGAGCGAGGUUAAGGCGAAGAGCCGGAGCCGGAGCGAAAGCGAGUCUGAAGAGGGCGAGAAGUUCCAUGCUGUAGACCCGAAACCGUGUGAUCUACCCAUGGACAGGGUGAAGGUGGGGUAAAACCCACUGAAGGCCCGAACUCACUGUCGUUGAAAAGGCAGGGGAUGAUCUGUGGGUAGGGGUGAAAUGCCAAUCGAACACGGAGAUAGCUGGUUCUCCCCGAAAUAGCUUUAGGGCUAGCCUCAAUCGAUGACUGACGGCGGUAGAGCACUGAAUAGGCUAGGGGCCUUACCCGGUUACCGAACCUUAUCAAACUCCGAAUGCCGUUAGGUUUAGAUUGGGAGUCAGACUGUGGGGGAUAAGCUUCAUAGUCGAGAGGGAAACAGCCCAGACCAUCAGCUAAGGUCCCUAAGUAUACGCUUAGUGGAAAAGGAUGUGGAAUUGCUCAGACAACCAGGAUGUUGGCUCAGAAGCAGCCACCAUUUAAAGAGUGCGUAAUAGCUCACUGGUCGAGUGGUUCUGCGCCGAAAAUGUAACGGGGCUCAAGCGUAUCACCGAAGCUAUGGAAUUUGGAAGUCAGAAGUGAGAGGUCUGAAGUCAGAGAGGAAAUUUCAGUGGUUCAUCUGACGUCUGACAUCCGACUUCUGACUUCCGAAUUGGUAGGGGAGCAUUCCAAGGUCAGCGAAGUUCUUCCGGAAGGAAGGGUGGAGAGCUUGGAAGAGAGAAUGCCGGUAUGAGUAUGCGAAAAGGAGGGUGAGAAUCCCUCCCGCCGAAAAUCCAAGGAUUCCUGGGGAAGGCUCGUCCGCCCAGGGUAAGUCGGGACCUAAGCCGAGGCUGAAAAGCGUAGGUGAUGGACAACUGGUUGAGAGUCCAGUACCACCGGUAAGCGAUUGAGCGAUGGGGUGACACAGAAGGACAGGUCCAGCGUGCCGUUGGUUGAGCACGUCCAAGCCUCGAGGAAGUAGGGUAGGCAAAUCCGCCCUGCGAGAUUCUGAGGGGUGAUGGGGAGCGAAAACAAGUAGCGAAGGGACUGGGUUCAAGCUGUCAAGAAAAGCCUCUAGUGAGCGAAUCGGUGCCCGUACCGUAAACCGACACAGGUGGAUAAGGAGAGAAUCCUAAGGCGCGCGAGAAAACCCUCGUUAAGGAACUCGGCAAAAUGACCCCGUAACUUCGGGAGAAGGGGUACUCCUAGCGAUAGGAGUCGCAGAGAAUUGGUCCAGGCGACUGUUUAACAAAAACACAGGUCCCUGCAAAUCCGUAAGGAGAAGUAUAGGGGCUGACGCCUGCCCGGUGCUGGAAGGUUAAGAGGAGAGGUUAGGCGCAAGCCGAAGCUUUGAAUUGAAGCCCCAGUAAACGGCGGCCGUAACUAUAACGGUCCUAAGGUAGCGAAAUUCCUUGUCAGGUAAGUUCUGACCCGCACGAAAGGCGUAACGAUCUGGACACUGUCUCAACGAGGGACUCGGCGAAAUUGUAAUACCCGUGAAGAUGCGGGUUACCUGCGACAGGACAGAAAGACCCCAUGGAGCUUUACUGUAGCUUGACAUUGGAUUUUGGUAGAGAAUGUACAGGAUAGGUGGGAGACUAAGAAGCUAGGGCGCCAGCCUUGGUGGAGUCGCCGGUGGGAUACCACUCUUUUUGUACUGAAAUUCUAACUUAGUCCCCUGAAACGGGGAUGAGGACCGUGUCAGGUGGGCAGUUUGACUGGGGCGGUCGCCUCCCAAAGAGUAACGGAGGCGCCCAAAGGUUCCCUCAGCGCGGAUGGAAAUCGCGCGAAGAGUGUAAAGGCAGAAGGGAGCUUGACUGCGACACCCACAAGUGGAGCAGGGACGAAAGUCGGGCUUAGUGAUCCGGUGGUACCGAGUGGAAGGGCCAUCGCUCAACGGAUAAAAGCUACCCUGGGGAUAACAGGCUUAUCUCCCCCAAGAGUCCAUAUCGACGGGGAGGUUUGGCACCUCGAUGUCGGCUCAUCGCAUCCUGGGGCUGUAGUAGGUCCCAAGGGUUGGGCUGUUCGCCCAUUAAAGCGGUACGUGAGCUGGGUUCAGAACGUCGUGAGACAGUUCGGUCCCUAUCCGUCGCAGGCGCAGGAAAUUUGAGAGGAUCUGUCCCUAGUACGAGAGGACCGGGAUGGACGGAUCCCUGGUGUACCAGUUGUCUCGCCAGAGGCACCGCUGGGUAGCUAUAUCCGGAGCGGAUAAGCGCUGAAAGCAUCUAAGCGCGAAACCGACCUCAAGAUGAGAUUUCCCACGAGCGCAAGCUCGGUAAGACCCCUGAAAGAUGAACAGGUUGAUAGGCCCGGUGUGGAAGCGCCGUGAGGUGUGAAGCUGACGGGUACUAAUCGGUCGAGGGCUUGACCAA
Molecule: ribosomal RNA, 2692 nt
Organism: Peptococcaceae bacterium CEB3
Lineage: Bacteria; Bacillati; Bacillota; Clostridia; Eubacteriales; Peptococcaceae
Rfam family: Bacterial large subunit ribosomal RNA
Source: Rfam